RNAcentral lists this ribosomal RNA (253 nucleotides) under uncultured bacterium. RNAcentral describes it as "partial 16S ribosomal RNA". It matches the Rfam family "Bacterial small subunit ribosomal RNA", at positions 524 to 776 of the family's 1533-position model. The record is from RNAcentral.
UACGUAGGGUGCAAGCGUUGUCCGGAAUUAUUGGGCGUAAAGAGCUCGUAGGCGGUUUGUCGCGUCUGCUGUGAAAAUCCAGGGCUUAACCCUGGACCUGCAGUGGGUACGGGCAGACUAGAGUGUGGUAGGGGAGACUGGAAUUCCUGGUGUAGCGGUGAAAUGCGCAGAUAUCAGGAGGAACACCGGUGGCGAAGGCGGGUCUCUGGGCCGAUACUGACGCUGAGGAGCGAAAGCGUGGGGAGCGAACAGG